Cimex lectularius (bed bug) is the source of this 1161-nucleotide long non-coding RNA. RefSeq lists it as uncharacterized. The transcript has 3 exons. The record is from RefSeq and is a predicted model, not a curated record. NCBI's taxonomy places the organism in Eukaryota, Metazoa, Arthropoda, Insecta, Hemiptera, Cimicidae.
AUCUUUCUCCUUCUGACUGAAUAACGCCUCGAAGAGAGAUUUCAGGCCGUUGUGGAAAUUUCCACGGAUCACCUUAUCACUCGCACAAAGAGAAUUGACGAGAAAAUAAAUUAUACAACACAAAACCACCCACUUCCCAGUCCAAUGGAAAUUUACCCUCAUUGUAAUACAUGAUAAUCUUCGUCCACUUAGUCAGUGGCAGAUAAUGGAAAAAACCUUAGAAACACUUCUACUUAAGCAAAUUCUCGUCGCCUUCAUUCCCGCAACCAUACUCCUGACUCCUAGUUUAGAUGCAGACGAUCUCAUUUCACUGGUAUCAUCACGUCAUAGAUAUUAUCGCUCUUAAGAGGAAGAAGUACUGCUCCGGUGUAUUCCUAGAUGUGAAGCAAGCCUUCGAUCGGACAUGGCACUCAGGGCUACUACCUGAUCCUAAAAUUCUACUUAACUAAAUUUAAGUCAUCAGUGGCUCCUCCAUCCUCUUCACAGUAUACACCGCAGAGAUUCCUUUGCUCUCAUAAAAAUCCCGUCAUCUCUACCUGAAAUUUGCAAAAUUCAUAUCACAUCCCUUUGAGCACCAGUGGAAAAUGAAAAUAAACAUGCAAUAAAUACUGUUUUAAAGAAGUGUCAUCACGUCGUAGACAUCAUUGGUUACAAUAUCUGUAUUCGGCUAUUCUACUACAACGAUUUACAGUUCGAUGGAACGCAUAAACGCGACUCAUAGACCAAGUAAUUUCAAGAAUUUGUCAACAACUUCACACUUCGUAAAAUAUUGCUGAUCAAACGCUCCAAACUGUCUCUGCAACACAAACCCUUCAUUUACAUGAUCAUGCUGAGGCUCAUUUCGACACACGACAAUGGAAUAUGAACCAAAUGUACCGACGUAUCCUUCGAACUGUCGUCAGUGCUCCUUUCUAUGUAUCAAUUUUACCAUUCACAACGACCUUAAUAUUCAAUAUGUCCACGAAGUUGUAUUAACAGCUACAAGAAUUAUUACAAACGAUUAUCGUAUCACGUAAACCCUAAUGUCAGAAAUUUUUCAUUCCGCACCCUUCCAGUUAAUCCUCGCCGAAGAUUGAAACGUCACUGGUCUCGCGAACCCUAAGUGACAGCGAGAGUGAUUAAUGCCAGAACAUAGCAAUGACUACGAUUGAGUCGUUAGUA